UCGCACGUUGUGCAGGCAAGC
RNAcentral lists this microRNA (21 nucleotides) under Ciona intestinalis (vase tunicate). Its description in RNAcentral is "cin-miR-4085-5p". The record is from miRBase by way of RNAcentral. Lineage: Eukaryota; Metazoa; Chordata; Ascidiacea; Phlebobranchia; Cionidae.